RNAcentral lists this ribosomal RNA (305 nucleotides) under uncultured bacterium. Its description in RNAcentral is "bacterial SSU rRNA". It matches the Rfam family "Bacterial small subunit ribosomal RNA", at positions 338 to 659 of the family's 1533-position model. The record is from RNAcentral.
CCUACGGGACGCAUCAGUGGGGAAUAUUUCACAAUGUGUGCCACCCUGAUGCAGCGACGCCGCGUGAGCGAUGAAGUAUUUCGGUAUGUAAAGCUCUAUCAGCAGGGAAGAAAAUGACGGUACCUGACUAAGAAGCCCCGGCUAACUACGUGCAAGCAGCCGCGGUAAUACGUAGGGGGCAAGCGUUAUCCGGAUUUACUGGGUGUAAAGGGAGCGUAGACGGUCCUGCAAGCCAGAUGUGAAAGCCCGGGGCUCAACCCCCGGGACUGCAUUUGGAACUGUAAGGCUAGAGUGUCGGAGAGGCG